RNAcentral lists this long non-coding RNA (994 nucleotides) under Trifolium pratense (red clover). Its description in RNAcentral is "long non-coding RNA (TPRA_LNC011449)". Lineage: Eukaryota; Viridiplantae; Streptophyta; Magnoliopsida; Fabales; Fabaceae. The record is from RNAcentral.
AGAGAGUGAACCAAGAUCAUCUUCAAGCCUUGCAUGAGCCAAGAUCCAACCUUAAGCUCAGAUUUUCGUCCCCAAUUUCGUACCAGCUUCAUCAUCUUCAUCAUCUAGGUGAGUCCCUAGUUAGAGACUUGGGAAAAUAUGGGAUUUUUGCAUGUUGGGGUUUAGGGUUUGAGAACAAAUACUUCUAUAAUCCUUAAUGGCAGAUUGGUUCUUCUGGAAUUAGUAACGGGAAUGCAUGCAGGUCACAUUGCUCAGUGAGAAGGAAGAAGAAGAUGAAAACGAUGUCGUAUCGAAGACAAAUGGGACAAAAAUGAACAUGAAAUUUUCUGAAAAUAAACAGUAAAAUCGCCAGUUUCAUCUUCUUUCUCCUUUCUCACUCGUUUAUCUCCACACCGAACCAUGAACAUUGAACCCAAAAUCAAACCCGGUUCACCACCGUGGUCCAUUCCCACGNNNNNNNNNNNNNNNNNNNNNNNNGGUUCAAUGUUCAUGGUUCGGUGUGGAGAUGUUGAUGCUUCUGUUUAUUUUCAAUAGGUUCAUAAACAAUGGCGAGAGCUCUCGUAAUUUUCCAAUUUUUGCAAUCACCAGAAGCAUCAUUACUCAGCAAAAAGAUAACAUCAUUCUCCAAUUUUCCAACUCUUUCAUUCAGUCGGCGAAACUUCGUGUUUGAAGACUCAAGCAAUUCCUCUACUCGUCUCUUCUCAUCCGCCAAUUUACCGUAGAGAAGAAUAAAGAGGGAAAAUGGUUAUAAUAGAGUGAGGAAGAAGAAGAUGAAAACGAUGUCGUAUCGAAGACAAAUGGUUAAAGGACUGUAAAACCGUGUGGUUUAUCCGUUGGACUGUAAAACACCGCGGUUUUACUGUUUAUUUUCAAUAGGUUCAUAAACAAUGGCGAGAGCUCUCGUAAUUUUCCAAUUUUUUCAAUCACCAGAAGCAUCAACACUCAGCAAAAAGAUAACAUCAUUCAUAAUAGAGUGAGGAAGAAGAAGAUGAAA